RNAcentral lists this ribosomal RNA (470 nucleotides) under uncultured bacterium. RNAcentral describes it as "bacterial SSU rRNA". It matches the Rfam family "Bacterial small subunit ribosomal RNA", at positions 29 to 478 of the family's 1533-position model. The record is from RNAcentral.
AAUGAACGCUGGCGGCGUGCUUAACACAUGCAAGUCGAGCGCGAAAGCGACUUCGGUCGUUAGUAGAGCGGCGCACGGGUGAGUAACACGUGGAUAACCUGCCUGAGUGUGGGGAAUAACUUGGGGAAACCUAAGCUAAUACCGCAUACGUUCGCUGGGCUGCGGCCUGGCGAGGAAAGACCGCCUCUUCUUGAAAGCGGUCGCACUCAGAGGGGUCCGCGGCUGAUUAGCUAGUUGGUGAGGUAAUGGCUCACCAAGGCGACGAUCAGUAGCCGGCCUGAGAGGGUGAUCGGCCACACUGGAACUGAGACACGGUCCAGACUCCUACGGGAGGCAGCAGUGGGGAAUAUUGGACAAUGGGCGAAAGCCUGAUCCAGCAACGCCGCGUGGAGGAUGAAGGCCUUCGGGUUGUAAACUCCUGUCGGGUGGAACGAAAAAGCUUGGUUAAUAGCCAGGUCAUAUGACGGUAC